CCCUUAGAUGUUCUGGGCUGCACGCGCGCUACACUGAUGCACUCAACGAGUUUACGACCUUGCCCGAUAGGGUUGGGUAAUCUUUUUAAAAUGCAUCGUGAUGGGGAUAGAUUAUUGCAAUUAUUAAUCUUCAACGAGGAAUUCCUAGUAAGCGCGAGUCAUCAGCUCGUGCUGAUUACGUCCCUGCCCUUUGUACACACCGCCCGUCGCACCUACCGAUUGAACGUUCCGGUGAGACCUUGGGAUUUGGUCUUUGAUACUUUAUUGUGUCGUUGACCGAAAAACUUGAGCAAACCUUAACGUUUAGAGGAAGGUGAAGUCGUAACA
RNAcentral lists this ribosomal RNA (327 nucleotides) under uncultured eukaryote. RNAcentral's name for it is "partial 18S ribosomal RNA". It matches the Rfam family "Eukaryotic small subunit ribosomal RNA", at positions 1470 to 1796 of the family's 1831-position model. The record is from RNAcentral.